Molecule: ribosomal RNA, 406 nt
Filed under: uncultured bacterium
Lineage: Bacteria
Description: partial 16S ribosomal RNA
Rfam family: Bacterial small subunit ribosomal RNA
Source: RNAcentral
AUUGAACGCUGGCGGCAGGCCUAACACAUGCAAGUCGAACGAGGGGCGGACGGGUGAGUAAUGUCUGGGAAACUGCCUGAUGGAGGGGGAUAACUACUAGAAACGGGAGAUAAUACCGAAUAACAUGAAAUGUGCACAGAUGUGAGUAGCUUGUUGGUGGGGUAACGGCUCACCAAGGCGACGAUCCAUAGCUGGUCUGAGAGGAUGACCAGCCACACUGGAACUGAGACACUGUCUAGACUCCUACGUGAGGCAGCAGUGGGGAAUAUUGCACAAUGGGCGCAAGCCUGAUGCAGCCAUGCCGCGUGUAUGAAGAAGGCCUUCGGGGUGUAAAGUACUUUCAGCGGGGGGGCGUUACCCGCAGAAGAAGCACCGGCUAACUCCGUGCCAGCCGCCGCGGUAAUAC